This 289-nucleotide unclassified non-coding RNA is filed under the name Hevea brasiliensis (rubber tree). The record is from RNAcentral. Lineage: Eukaryota; Viridiplantae; Streptophyta; Magnoliopsida; Malpighiales; Euphorbiaceae.
UGAACCUGUAAGAAAUAACCUUCCUACUACAAUUUGGCGUUAUGAGGAUCAGAUGGUCCCAAGCAUGACUUCUUCCUUGGUAAGAGUUGGAGAGGAAGAAACUUCUUCAGAUCUUCGAAAUUUUUCGGAUGAUAGCAGAGCAGAGGUGCCAAGAAAUGUAAAUGUCAAUCAAGAACAAAGAAGAGACAACUUGGGGGCUUCACAAACCAUCGGUGGUAACAACAAUUUGCCACAUUUUAGUGUUGGUCUCGGAAAUAUUGAAGAUUCAACAGCAGAAUCUUCAAGUAGU